AUGGGGGACUGCGACGCUACCGCCUCAUUCAUGAGCGAUCUGAUCCGCGCGAUAUUCAAGCUUGUGUGGAGCCGGCGGACCGAUAGGGGCGGCCCCGUCGACGAGGCCGUAGACAUCGAGCCUGCUGCGGAGACGUCAAGGAGGAACCGGAGUACCUCUGCUAAUGCAAGUGCACUGCAAGUGAGCUGCGAACUUCUUCGGAUGUUUGUCGCAGAGGCUGUCCAGCGCUGUGCUGUUAUCGCUGAAGCAGAGGGGGCGACCACAAUUGAGCCCACCCACCUGGAGCGAGUCUUGCCACAGCUUCUUCUGGACUUCUAG
Molecule: ribosomal RNA, 318 nt
Filed under: Triticum aestivum (bread wheat)
Lineage: Eukaryota; Viridiplantae; Streptophyta; Magnoliopsida; Poales; Poaceae
Description: partial small subunit ribosomal RNA
Source: RNAcentral